RNAcentral lists this ribosomal RNA (250 nucleotides) under uncultured bacterium. RNAcentral describes it as "partial 16S ribosomal RNA". It matches the Rfam family "Bacterial small subunit ribosomal RNA", at positions 355 to 622 of the family's 1533-position model. The record is from RNAcentral.
UGGGGAAUAUUGGACAAUGGGCGAAAGCCUGAUCCAGCCAUGCCGCGUGAGUGAUGAAGGCCCUAGGGUUGUAAAGCUCUUUUAACGGGGAAGAUAAUGACGGUACCCGUAGAAUAAGCCCCGGCUAACUUCGUGCCAGCAGCCGCGGUAAUACGAAGGGGGCUAGCGUUGCUCGGAAUCACUGGGCGUAAAGCGCACGUAGGCGGACUCUUAAGUCGGUGGUGAAAUCCUGGAGCUCAACUCCAGAACU